ACUUGAUCAAAACUACUAUUUAAUAUAGAGGCAAACAGGCUAAGCUAAGGUUAACCAAGAGUUGUAGAAUUGAAGGAGGCUUCUUUGUCGGAUGGAUGGAAACUUAGCUGCUUUUUUGCAUGUAUAGCCAGAAUUCAUCGAUGUUCUAUCCUUGAGUGACAGAAGAGUAUGAAAUAAUCCUGGCUCAAGAACUUACAAAGAAACCUUGUUCAGCUUUGCAAAGUGUUCCUCACUGCUCUUCCUAUGUUUAAUGUAAGACAUGUAAGAUUAAUUGUCUUUGUUGGUGGAAGCGAGAUGAUGAAUUGAGAGCUGGGCUACAAAUUGGAUUUGGUGAAUUCUAAUUGCGAUGUUGUACUGUGUAAUGCACACGAUACUUUGUUGUUAUUUAGAUUUAUAAGCUCAACGCUUUGGCACAGUGACCUUCUUAUUUA
This is a long non-coding RNA of Asparagus officinalis (garden asparagus), 431 nucleotides long. RefSeq lists it as uncharacterized. NCBI's taxonomy places the organism in Eukaryota, Viridiplantae, Streptophyta, Magnoliopsida, Asparagales, Asparagaceae. The transcript has 2 exons. The record is from RefSeq and is a predicted model, not a curated record.